Molecule: ribosomal RNA, 450 nt
Filed under: uncultured Diversispora
Lineage: Eukaryota; Fungi; Glomeromycota; Glomeromycetes; Diversisporales; Diversisporaceae
Description: SSU rRNA
Rfam family: Eukaryotic small subunit ribosomal RNA
Source: RNAcentral
AGCAGCCGCGGUAAUUCCAGCUCCAAUAGCGUAUAUUAAAGUUGUUGCAGUUAAAAAGCUCGUAGUUGAACUUCGGGGUUCACCCAUUGGUCAGGCUUAACUGUCUGUACUGGUGAGAUGAAUCUCUACCUUCUGAGGAACUUUCAUGCCAUUUAUUUGGUGUGAUGGGAAAUCAGGACUGUUACUCUGAAAAAUUAGAGUGUUUAAAGCAGGCUAACGUCUGAAUACAUUAGCAUGGAAUAAUGAAAUAGGACGGACUGGUUCUAUUUCGUUGGUUUCUAGGAUCACCGUAAUGAUUAAUAGGGAUAGUUGGGGGCAUUAGUAUUCAAUUGUCAGAGGUGAAAUUCUUGGAUUUAUUGAAGACUAACUACUGCGAAAGCAUUUGCCAAGGAUGUUUUCAUUAAUCAAGAACGAAAGUUAGGGGAUCGAAGACGAUCAGAUACCGUGUAG